Non-coding RNA from Lonchura striata (white-rumped munia), 281 nucleotides. The record is from RefSeq and is a predicted model, not a curated record. Lineage: Eukaryota; Metazoa; Chordata; Aves; Passeriformes; Estrildidae.
AAAUAAAGAUUCACAAGGACCUCCAAGGACAGUGAAUUCAAUUGUCAUAAAAGCAGGUCUAUGGACACCAUGGAUCUUGGAUAAAUUAGACAACUAGGAUCUUAUUCAUUUAAUUCCAGAGGGAAUGACUAUCAAGCUGCUUCCAUCAUUCUCCCAUUCAAAAGAAAGAAUUUUUUUUCCACAAUCAGUAAAAUAUCUUACACUUGUCUGAAGCAUCAGAAUUAGGAGCUGUUAUGAAAUGUUAGUGCCUGUAAGAUGAAAUAAAAAUUUGUCACAAUGGC